RNAcentral lists this ribosomal RNA (497 nucleotides) under uncultured bacterium. RNAcentral describes it as "partial 16S ribosomal RNA". It matches the Rfam family "Bacterial small subunit ribosomal RNA", at positions 28 to 507 of the family's 1533-position model. The record is from RNAcentral.
GAUGAACGCUGGCGGCGUGCCUAAUACAUGCAAGUCGAGCGAACAGAUGAGGAGCUUGCUCCUCUGACGUUAGCGGCGGACGGGUGAGUAACACGUGGAUAACCUACCUAUAAGACUGGGAUAACUUCGGGAAACCGGAGCUAAUACCGGAUAAUAUAUUGAACCGCAUUGUUCAAUAGUGAAAGACGGUUUUGCUGUCACUUAUAGAUGGAUCCGCGCCGCAUUAGCUAGUUGGUAAGGUAACGGCUUACCAAGGCAACGAUGCGUAGCCGACCUGAGAGGGUGAUCGGCCACACUGGAACUGAGACACGGUCCAGACUACUACGGGAGGCAGCAGUAGGGAAUCUUCCGCAAUGGGCGAAAGCCUGACGGAGCAACGCCGCGUGAGUGAUGAAGGUCUUCGGAUCGUAAAACUCUGUUAUUAGGGAAGAACAAAUGUGUAAGUAACUAUGCACGUCUUGACGGUACCUAAUCAGAAAGCCACGGCUAACUACGUG